This 517-nucleotide long non-coding RNA is filed under the name Gossypium barbadense (sea-island cotton). RNAcentral describes it as "long non-coding RNA (GBAR_LNC018583)". Lineage: Eukaryota; Viridiplantae; Streptophyta; Magnoliopsida; Malvales; Malvaceae. The record is from RNAcentral.
AAAGAAAGCUUUUGAACUAUCAGUUUUUUGUGAUGCUGAAGUUGCUUUAAUCAUCUUCUCUCUUAGAGGCAAGCUCUUUGAAUUUGCAAGCUCUAGGUAAAUAAUAUUUUUCUUUAAACCCCCCUCACUUUUCAAUUAUAUUUUAUGGUGCCUUAUAUGCUAUUAUAUAGUUGAAGGCACUGUUUAUUUGUUAUUGUUGUUUCUCAUUUAAGAGGAUGCAUCAUUGGAAUGAACCAUUUUCUCUUGAUACCUUUGGUAGUCCAAAACAACAAAUGAAAUUUAACAUGUGUAGGUCUAAGUACAUUAUAAAACCAGAGCCAUUCGUAUGUCUAUAGUUUUGGUUAAUGGGAAAUAUUAUUGAAGUUGCAGUUGUUGAUGCACUGAGCUAUCAAAAUAUUACUGUUUUUGGGUCAUAUGUUAAAACCAAAGUUUUAUCUUAGUAGUUUUCUACCCUUAUAUUUCACUAAGUAGUUUAUUAUUCCAUGCCUUUAAACACAAUGCUCAAACUAGGAAUAGG